GGCUGGUCUGAGUGCAGUGGUGUUUACAACUAACUGAUCACAACUAGUGACAGAUUUCCUUGUUCCUUUUUUAUUCUCACUGCUUCACUUGACUAGCAUUAA
Molecule: unclassified non-coding RNA, 102 nt
Organism: Prolemur simus (greater bamboo lemur)
Lineage: Eukaryota; Metazoa; Chordata; Mammalia; Primates; Lemuridae
Rfam family: Y RNA
About the family: Y RNAs are components of the Ro ribonucleoprotein particle (Ro RNP), in association with Ro60 and La proteins.
Source: Ensembl